GACGAACGCUGGCGGCGUGCUUAACACAUGCAAGUCGAACGGAAAGGCCUGCUUUCCCUUGUGUAUUCCGGGUACUCGCGUGGCCAACGGGUGAGUAACACGUGAGUGAUCUGCCCCCAACUUGGGUAUAAGCCUGGGAAACUGGGUCUAAUUCCCGAUAGGACUGCAGGGUGGUGCCUGUGGUGGAAAACGAUUUUCUAGUGGUUGGGGAUGAGCUCGCGGCCUAUCAGCUUGUUGGUGGGGUAAUGGCCUACCAAGGCGGGGACGGGUAGCGGGCCUGAGAGGGUGGACGGCCGGAUUGGGACUGGGAUACGGCCCAGAAGCCUACGCGAGGCAGCAGUGGGGAAGAUGGCACGAUGGGCAGAACCCUGACGGAGCGAGGCCGCGGGGGGGAUGCCGGCCUUCGGGUUGUGAACUCCUGUCGACAGCGAGGAAGCGACCUGGGUGAAAGGGUGGUGACGGUAGUGGUAGAAGAAGCACCGGCUAACUACGUG
RNAcentral lists this ribosomal RNA (494 nucleotides) under uncultured bacterium. RNAcentral describes it as "partial 16S ribosomal RNA". It matches the Rfam family "Bacterial small subunit ribosomal RNA", at positions 28 to 507 of the family's 1533-position model. The record is from RNAcentral.